Small nucleolar RNA from Cervus elaphus (red deer), 170 nucleotides. The record is from RefSeq and is a predicted model, not a curated record. NCBI's taxonomy places the organism in Eukaryota, Metazoa, Chordata, Mammalia, Artiodactyla, Cervidae.
UCUGCAUAUAAGUUAAAUAAGCACGAUGACAGGGUGACUUUCUUCCUUUAAGUUACAUCUAAAGAUCCCAAGUGCAAGGUAGUGUGCUACACGAGGGGCAAGUGUUUCGCUAACACCACAAGGGUCUCUGGCCCAAUGAGUGGAGUUGGAUAGUAAUACUUGCUACAAAA